GGAGGUUUAGCUCAGCGGCAUAAGCGCCUGCCUUGCAAGCAGAAGGUUGUGAGUUCGAUCCCCCGUCCCCCU
Molecule: transfer RNA, 72 nt
Filed under: Cavia porcellus (domestic guinea pig)
Lineage: Eukaryota; Metazoa; Chordata; Mammalia; Rodentia; Caviidae
Rfam family: tRNA
About the family: Transfer RNA (tRNA) molecules are approximately 80 nucleotides in length. Their secondary structure includes four short double-helical elements and three loops (D, anti-codon, and T loops). Further hydrogen bonds mediate the characteristic L-shaped molecular structure. tRNAs have two regions of fundamental functional importance: the anti-codon, which is responsible for specific mRNA codon recognition, and the 3' end, to which the tRNAs corresponding amino acid is attached (by aminoacyl-tRNA synthetases). tRNAs cope with the degeneracy of the genetic code in two manners: having more than one tRNA (with a specific anti-codon) for a particular amino acid; and 'wobble' base-pairing, i.e. permitting non-standard base-pairing at the 3rd anti-codon position.
Source: Rfam by way of RNAcentral